This 498-nucleotide ribosomal RNA is filed under the name uncultured bacterium. RNAcentral describes it as "partial 16S ribosomal RNA". It matches the Rfam family "Bacterial small subunit ribosomal RNA", at positions 355 to 866 of the family's 1533-position model. The record is from RNAcentral.
UGGGGAAUAUUGCACAAUGGGCGGAAGCCUGAUGCAGCAACGCCGCGUGAGGGAUGACGGCCUUCGGGUUGUAAACCUCUUUUAGCAGGGAAGAAGCGAGAGUGACGGUACCUGCAGAAAAAGCGCCGGCUAACUACGUGCCAGCAGCCGCGGUAAUACGUAGGGCGCAAGCGUUAUCCGGAAUUAUUGGGCGUAAAGAGCUCGUAGGCGGUUUGUCGCGUCUGCUGUGAAAUCCCGAGGCUCAACCUCGGGCCUGCAGUGGGUACGGGCAGACUAGAGUGCGGUAGGGGAGAUUGGAAUUCCUGGUGUAGCGGUGGAAUGCGCAGAUAUCAGGAGGAACACCGAUGGCGAAGGCAGAUCUCUGGGCCGUAACUGACGCUGAGGAGCGAAAGGGUGGGGAGCAAACAGGCUUAGAUACCCUGGUAGUCCACCCGUAACGUUGGGAACUAGUUGUGGGACCAUUCCACGGUUUCCGUGACGCAGCUAACGCAUUAAGUU